AUGAUCAGGUUGAUAGGUCUGAGGUGGAAGUGUGGCGACACAUGGAGCUGACAGAUACUAAUCGAUCGAGGACUUAACCA
Molecule: ribosomal RNA, 80 nt
Filed under: Bacillus subtilis
Lineage: Bacteria; Bacillati; Bacillota; Bacilli; Caryophanales; Bacillaceae
Description: 23S rRNA. Bacterial LSU
Source: RNAcentral